UCGAGAAUCUUCGGCAAUGGGCGCAAGCCUGACCGAGCGACGCCGCGUGCGGGAUGAAGGCCUUCGGGUUGUAAACCGCUGUCGUAGGGGAGGAAGGUUCCGUGAAGAACGGAGCUUGACCGAUCCUAGGAGGAAGGGCCGGCUAAUCUCGUGCCAGCAGCCGCGGUAAUACGAGAGGCCCAAACGUUAUUCGGAAUCACUGGGCUUAAAGAGUUCGUAGGCGGCGCGGAAAGUGGGGUGUGAAGCCCUCGGCUCAACCGAGGAAUUGCGCUCCAAACUGUCGCGCUUGAGGAAGCUAGAGGUAAGCAGAACUGAUGGUGGAGCGGUGAAAUGCGUUGAUAUCAUCAGGAAUACCGGAGGCGAAGGCGGCUUACUGGGACUUUUCUGACGCUGAGGAACGAAAGCUAGGGGAGCAAACGGGAUUAGAUACCCCGGUAGUCCUAGCCGUAAACGGUGAGCACUGGACCGAGGGCCUGCACAGGCCCCCGGUCGUAGCGAAAGUGUUAAGUGCUCCG
RNAcentral lists this ribosomal RNA (515 nucleotides) under uncultured Planctomycetota bacterium. RNAcentral describes it as "bacterial SSU rRNA". It matches the Rfam family "Bacterial small subunit ribosomal RNA", at positions 355 to 871 of the family's 1533-position model. Lineage: Bacteria; Pseudomonadati; Planctomycetota. The record is from RNAcentral.